This 116-nucleotide ribosomal RNA is filed under the name Allobacillus sp. SKP2-8. The record is from RNAcentral. Lineage: Bacteria; Bacillati; Bacillota; Bacilli; Caryophanales; Bacillaceae.
UCCGGUGGCGAUGGCAGAGAGGCCACACCUGUUCCCAUUCCGAACACAGAAGUUAAGCUCUCUAGCGCCGAUGGUAGUUGGGGUUUUUCCCCUGCAAGAGUAGGACGCCGCCGGGC